GGAGUCUGGGCCGUAUCUCAGUCCCAAUGUGGCCGAUCACCCUCUCAGGCCGGCUACCAAUCGUCGCCUUGGUGGGCCGUUACCUCACCAACUAGCUAAUUGGACGCGGGUCCAUCCUGUACCACCGGAGUUUUUACCCCUGCACCAUGCGGUGCUGUGGUCUUAUGCGGUAUUAACAGUCGUUUCCAACUGUUAUCCCCCUGUACAGGGCAGGUUACCCACGCGUUACUCACCCGUGCGCCGGUCGCCAUCAAUCUUAGCAAGCUAAGAUCAUGCUGCCCCUCGACUUGCAUGUGUUAAGCCUGUAGCUAGCGUUCAUC
Molecule: ribosomal RNA, 320 nt
Filed under: uncultured Clostridia bacterium
Lineage: Bacteria; Bacillati; Bacillota; Clostridia
Description: partial 16S ribosomal RNA
Source: RNAcentral